GCUGUGCUGUCAAGCCGGGAGCCGUCCUCCGCUGUCAAGAUGGCCGUUUCGACGCCUUCAGGGCUAGUGACUCCCUGGGCGGCCUUGUUUGCAGCACCUCCCUGCUCUCUCUGAGAAGAAAUUCUUCCUGAUAUCCAACCUGAACUUUCUCUGGUUUUGUGCAGCUAUGGAACAACAGCUGCUGUCCAGGAGUUACCAUUGUUUAAAGAAGAAACAACAGCAGAGGAGACUGAACAACACACUUCUGUUUGUAUCCUGACUUCUGACCUGGACAAAUGGUAGUUCUCAGAUGAAUUCAUCCCCUUAAAACUGCAAUAUGAAAGAGCUCAUUUCUCCAGCCAGGAAGACAAGAUGUGUAAUAUUUUCUGUGUUAUGAAAACAUAGCAUCUACUAAAAGUUUGUAAAAAUUGAAGUACUCAUUUUUUAUCUGCUCUGCAGUCCCCUGAGAGAUCUGAAAGCAAUAAAUGAAGACUGUCAGUACCUCAAGAGGAUAAUGAGAAGUUUUAUUACCCAGGAAAGAAAAGUUUAUAUUGAAGCUCAGUGGUUACCAAUUCCAUGCAUGAGAAGAUAGAGCCUGUCUUAAAAAAUGACCAAUUUUUUUUUUUUCUGAUGGUGGGAAUUAUUCCUCAGAUACUACAACAAAUGGGCGUAAAGAGAGCAAUUGGAAAACACUUACAAACUGCUCGUGGCCUAUUUUUCUGUCCUCACUCCACUUGUUGUGGUUGGUUCAAUAAAAGAUGCCUUGAAUGCGCAGGGCCAAAGCUCUGUGGUAUGCUGUUGAGGUAUACUACCCUCCGAAGUUCAGACAACAGCUACUGCUGCAGUUGGUGCAUGCAGCACCUCUGCUAGCACUGCAGCAUCAGGUAGCCAGCUUCCAGAUAGAGGACUCCCUCCCUGCUGGAGUAACAGGAAAAGCCUGAGGACUCCAUUUCUGAAUCACAUAGAUGCAAACGUAGUAUCGGAUAAAGCAAACACAG
Molecule: long non-coding RNA, 977 nt
Organism: Centrocercus urophasianus (Greater sage-grouse)
Lineage: Eukaryota; Metazoa; Chordata; Aves; Galliformes; Phasianidae
Exons: 3
Source: RefSeq, a predicted model, not a curated record